This 254-nucleotide ribosomal RNA is filed under the name uncultured bacterium. RNAcentral's name for it is "partial 16S ribosomal RNA". It matches the Rfam family "Bacterial small subunit ribosomal RNA", at positions 524 to 776 of the family's 1533-position model. The record is from RNAcentral.
UACGUAGGGGGCGAGCGUUGUCCGGAUUUAUUGGGCGUAAAGAGCUCGUAGGCGGUUUGGCAAGUCGGGUGUGAAAACUCCGGGCUCAACUCGGAGACGCCACUCGAUACUGCUAUGACUCGAGUCCGGUAGGGGAGUGCGGAAUUCCUGGUGUAGCGGUGAAAUGCGUAGAUAUCGAGAGGAACACCAGUGGCGAAGGCGAGUCUCUGGACGACUCCUGACACUGAGGCACGAAAGCCAGGGGAGCAAACAGG